UGGUGGAGUGAUUUGUCUGGUUAAUUCCGUUAACGAACGAGACCUCAGCCUGCUAACUAGUUACACGAAGAUUUUUCUCCGUGGCCAAUCUUCUUAGAGGGACUAUUGGCGUAUAGCCAUGUGGAAGUUUGAGGCAAUAACA
This 142-nucleotide ribosomal RNA is filed under the name uncultured eukaryote. RNAcentral's name for it is "partial 18S ribosomal RNA". It matches the Rfam family "Eukaryotic small subunit ribosomal RNA", at positions 1299 to 1458 of the family's 1831-position model. The record is from RNAcentral.